Long non-coding RNA from Diachasma alloeum, 1168 nucleotides. RefSeq lists it as uncharacterized. The transcript is spliced from 2 exons. Lineage: Eukaryota; Metazoa; Arthropoda; Insecta; Hymenoptera; Braconidae. The record is from RefSeq and is a predicted model, not a curated record.
GUCUCCACCGACACUCACAUCAUCCUCCAAUUAUUCUCUUCAUCGAGAGCUCUACCCGCACUCCCAACGAAUGCGGGCACCUCUCAGAAACCAACUGCCAACAAAAGGAAGGAUCCGACUGCUGCUGAGAUAUUCACACCAGCAAACCCCGCAAUCUAUGGUGCUGAUACCGUGAGGGCACCAGUUAUCGCACGAACCCCUGUUAUCGGAAAUCGAGCGCUCUAACGACGGAAUUUGGCAUUUAUCAAAUAUAGCUAAUCAUCGACGGCCAUUUAGCCUUGUCUCUUUGUCGAGUUGAAUGAGUGGUCUACAAGUCACAAUUUUUUUGAAUAUUGAAAUAAUUGUGUGUAAUUAAUACGAAGAUAUUUUAUCUGACCGUCUGGUGACUGAUGUGUUCGUCAAGUGUGAUGUAGUAGGCGAAGGCUGAGUUUCCUGGAGGUUUCACAAGGAUAUACCAGCAAAAUGUCCACGCCUGAAAAAACGACUAAAACUAAAAAAUCAAGAUCACAAUACAGCAAGGAUGAUUUACGAAGAGCUCUGGAGGCCGUGAAUUCAGGGAGAACACUAGGAGCAGUGAGCAAAGAAUACAAUAUUCCCAAGUCAACAUUGUUUGAUAAGAAAAGGGGGAAAACAGCACCUGAAAUUAUUCAACCAGGUCCUGAGUGUGUCUUGGGGGAAGUGUACGAAAAAAAGUGGCUCGUUCAAUCAAGAAGGAGAAGAUGUUGGCAGAAAAGCAGAAGAAGGAAGAAUUGGCCAAAGCCAAGAAGAGGAGUCCCAGUAUUGUGGCUAAAAAGAGAGGCAUAAAAAGGAAAAAACCAGUGGAAAGUAAAAUAAAAGGAGAGGAGCCCGAUGUGGCCAGAAAAAUUAAAAAGGAAUUAUUGGAUGAUAGCCUCGGAGAGGACAAAGAUACCAACAGCCCCCCAGCAAAAAUUCUUUCCAGAGAACAAUAACGAAUAAACCUUCAUUAUAUUAAGUAUUUGUACCUUAUCAUUGAUUGAUGUUAAUUUUUAAAGGUUUAUGACUGUUGGGAAAAUAGUAAAACUAUUGUACGUAUGUAUAUUACGUACGUAUAUUAAAUAUUUGUACCUUAUCAUUGAUUGGUGUUAAUUUUUAAAGGUUUAUGACUGUUGGGAAAAUAGUAAAACUAUUGUACGGAUGUUUGUUAUGA